AGGGAUGUAGCUCAGCAGUACAGUGCCUGCCUGGCAAGUGGGAGGCCCUGAGUUUAAUUCCCAGUACCCCCC
RNAcentral lists this transfer RNA (72 nucleotides) under Fukomys damarensis (Damara mole-rat). It matches the Rfam family "tRNA". From Rfam's summary of the family: Transfer RNA (tRNA) molecules are approximately 80 nucleotides in length. Their secondary structure includes four short double-helical elements and three loops (D, anti-codon, and T loops). The record is from Rfam by way of RNAcentral. Lineage: Eukaryota; Metazoa; Chordata; Mammalia; Rodentia; Bathyergidae.